GUCUACAGCCAUACCACCCAAAUGCUCGCAAUCUGAUCUUAAAGUUAAGCAGGAUCAGGCCUGGUUAGUUCUUAUAUGGGAAAUUGCCUGGGAAUACUAUGUGCUAUUUUCC
Peromyscus maniculatus bairdii (prairie deer mouse) is the source of this 112-nucleotide ribosomal RNA. The record is from Ensembl. NCBI's taxonomy places the organism in Eukaryota, Metazoa, Chordata, Mammalia, Rodentia, Cricetidae.